UUGGAGGGCAAGUCUGGUGCCAGCAGCCGCGGUAAUUCCAGCUCCAAUAGCGUAUAUUAAAGUUGUUGCAGUUAAAAAGCUCGUAGUUGAACUUCGGGGUCUACCCAUUGGUCAGGCUUAAUUGUCUGUACUGGUGAGAUGGAUCUCUACCUUCUGAGGAACUUUCAUGCCAUUUAUUUGGUGUGGUUGGAAAUCAGGACUGUUACUUUGAAAAAAUUGGAGUGUUUAAAGCAGACUAUCGUCUGAAUACAUUAGCAUGGAAUAAUGAAAUAGGACGGACUGAUUCUAUUUCGUUGGUUUCUAGGAUCACCGUAAUGAUUAAUAGGGAUAGUUGGGGGCAUUAGUAUUCAAUUGUCAGAGGUGAAAUUCUUGGAUUUAUUGAAGACUAACUACUGCGAAAGCAUUUGCCAAGGAUGUUUUCAUUAAUCAAGAACGAAAGUUAGGGGAUCGAAGACGAUCAGAUACCGUCGUAGUCUUAACCAUAAACUAUGCCGACUAGGGAUCGGACGAAGUUAAUUUUAUAAUGACGCGUUCGGCGCCUUACGGGAAAC
This 551-nucleotide ribosomal RNA is filed under the name uncultured Glomeromycotina. Its description in RNAcentral is "SSU rRNA". It matches the Rfam family "Eukaryotic small subunit ribosomal RNA", at positions 548 to 1098 of the family's 1831-position model. Lineage: Eukaryota; Fungi; Glomeromycota. The record is from RNAcentral.